GUUUUCGGGAGCGGUGCGGGCCUUGGGGGUGGGAGGAGGAGGGUGUGCUGCCCUGCGUUCCCGGGCGGCGUUGCGUAACGAGGGCUCCGGGCUGGGGGCGUAGACGGCGUUGAAGAAGCAGGACCUCGCGCACGAGCCGGGCAGAGCCAUGCCCGCUCGCCUUCCCUUGGCUCGGCCGCGGGGCGUGGCUGCCUUGGCAGCACCGGAUCAUAAUGGUUUCUUCGCGCGGUGAGAAGGGAGGAGGCCCACCCGCAGCCUGAGGGGCCGUUAGGCUGCGGGCAGCGCCCGCACCGAAGGGCGGGUAGAGGAAGGUCCUCCGUGCCCGGAUCCCGCUGCCCUCGCGUCACAGCGGUUAGUUCCAUCCGCCGCAGGAAAGCCGAGGCAAGGCGCGGCGGCGCCAGCGCCCGUUCAGGGACUUUCCCCUCAUAGGGGUGGAGCGACCGUUGGCCCGCCUGCGCCAACGGACGAGCGCGUGGCGGGGCGCGAGGAGAGGGGCGGGGCGGAUCCGCUUCGCACGCGCCCCUCCCCGCGCCUCACUGACAGGUGGAGCUGUGCCCCGUCUGUCGUCACGUGACGGGGGGUGGGGAGGAGAUACCGCCUCGCGAGAGCGCUGUGACGAAGCUACCGCGGCCCCGCAGGCGUGAGGGAGGGGAGGGGGUGCGGCUGCCGGCUGCCAGCGGAGGGCUUGGCGGGGCCAUCCAGUAGGGGAGCGGGAAGGAGCUUUACGGAGCGUUUGAUCUAACACGGGGAUGAUUAACAAAGAUGGACAACAGCAUUAUAGUCACUUUGGGCAGCUGAAGCUGACCACGUAAGUGCAGCAUACCAAGUCAGGCGAGGAAGGGGCAUAAAAUUUGCCCUCUGAAAAAAAAAGAGAAGAAACACCCCUCACUUGCAGAAAGAAAAUUCUGACUAGGAAAUACCAGGGAGCUUGCAUGAAAAGCAGUAAGACAAACAGAUCUGAUCUCUAUGUGGCCCAUGUCAAAAUUCCUCUGGAUGGCAGCAAGACUGGGAUCCAACUGGAAUCACGCAGAUUCAGCUGCCAGGAAACACGAGUAACCUGUGCGCAUGACUACCUUUGUGUUUACACUUCGUGCAGCUUCCAGCAAUGCACCUCUUUUUGGGACAGGGCAGUUUUUAAGUCUGAUCCUCUCAGUGCGCUGCUGGUUGUGCACCCACACAAACUGGGGAACCAGCUGGACACAGAUAUCACCAACUCUUUCUGAGAUGUGUUGCAGAUGGAGCACAGAGACUCUCAGACUCUAAGAUGAUAUAUGAAUCCUGAGGCAAAAGAAGACCUGAACCCAAACAAUCAACUGGGGCUUUCACCAUCUGACCAACUUCCUCUACAGUCUUACUGGAUGAUAAUGAAAAAUAAGUGGUUCAUUUCACCAAUAAUCUAAUAAUACAGAAUUUGUAUUAUAUGCAUAUGCGUACACAUGCAAAAGAUAGAAAUUUGUUUGUAUUUUUUUAGGUACUAUUUAUGACCUAAUGACUUUUUAUGUAAUAUAUGCACUGCUUCUGUAGAUACAAAUUAUAGAUAGACAUAUGCUUUUAAAAUGUGCUAGUAUGACACUUGUAUGACAUGUCUCUCAAUGAAGAAUUAAUAUUUCUUACUUUUUUUCUCCUUUCAUUUCUCAUUGCAAUGCACAAGAAAGCAGUUUCAGCUUAUUUUGGCGGACGUGCACUUAGAAAUGUGUAGCGUUUAUUUGCAGUACUGCUCUCACAAAAUGUUGCCAUGCUGUGGCACUUCUUUGAAGUUCUUCUCUGAAAGGUUCUUUGCAAAGGCUGUGUAGGAGGCUUUGCAACCGGGAGGUUUGGAAUUGUUUUUCUGAAAAUUAUUCUGAAAAGUCUGUCCUUUUCAAGGUCUUGGCCAGGUGCACAGCUAUUUUCCUCUUUCCAUUUCCUUUAACUCUGCAGCACAGAAUAAUAGGCCCUAUCUGAAAUUUUAUAUAUGUAAUGCAUUGCAGACUCUGCCACAUACUUCCCUUUUCAGCAGGCUUAUUGAACACCAAGGCACUUGCAGUGAUUCUUCUGUCAGCCUAACAUUCAGUGUCUCAGAGAUCAGCCAAACGUAGGGACCAGUUCUACCACCAUCACGCUCAUGGUGCUUUUUUUACAUUACAUUCCCAAACGUCAGCGGAUCUCUCAUAAAUUGCUAUGAUCUGUGUCAAGAUAGAGUUCUCAGCAUGUGUCUCAUGCUCACCUGCAUCACCAAACAGCCUCACAAGGAAGGUGUCUCCAUGAAUACUGACCAGCCAGCAACAGCACUGCAGCCAGUCCCCUGAGAGAAAGCUCCCUCCAGUUCUGACCACUGCCACAGAAAGGAGAAUGAGAGCCCCCAACGCACUCCAAUGCUAUUCUUCAUGGGAUCUCAGCUCAUCACGACACAGAAGAAGAAACACUAGAAACUGACUUGUAACCAGUGCUCUUCACUCAGUGUUGUCAAGCACAUGUGUCACUGGGCUGGUAGAUUAAACCUGUGUCCAUAAUGAAGAGGAGGAGCCAAGUGGUCCACCAGUAAAGAUCCCAGUCUGCUUCAAAUGUUGUUGGUUCCUUUCCUAAUGGAUGCCACAAAUAUCCUGCACAGAACACAGCACAGACCACGUUAAUGCAGCACACCAGGGUGGCAGUGGCACUCUUCUAAGGCUGUUCCUCCAGGAAGCUCACCAACAUCCUUGCAGGAUCAGUCUGAAGCUACGCUUUGACACUUUGCCUUUUGCAUAGAGAGGCGGCCCUAAGGUUUUUGCAUACAUUGAUACGUACAUGAAAAAGCAGAUACUUGCCCUAGUCCCAGGCACUUGCAGUAAAGAUCCAUAGAGAACUUGAAUAAUCAUAAUUUCUUAGUGCGUGAAGGAGUUCAGACUACAGAAAGAAGACAUUUCCGAGAAACAGAUUUUAUAGACUGAGCUGAACAGAUUUUUGGCAUUAUUUGUAAGCCAGUCAUUGUUAAGCCUUUGUACUUAGAAGAGCAAUUAUGACUCCUUUGGAAACAUCCUUAGUUGAACUCUUAAAAUAAUAAAAACACUCCUCCGUAAGACCACAUUAACAUAUGGUUUUCGUAAUGACAGCACAAACAAAUCACCCACUCAUCAAACACAUUUAGGAAGAAGACAGGAACAAACAGAGCAAAAAUUUUCUAAAGAUUACUUAGAGGUCCUGAUCAGUCAGGGAAAAAAAGAAAAGAAAAAAGUGAACUAAACUGAAUUCAGGUCCUGUCUAUAGGAUAUUGAAUACAGACAAAAUAUGCAACAUACAAAUAACCAAAAUCAAGAAUACCACUAAACUUUGUAAGGCAAAGUUUAUAGAUAUUAAGCUGCAAAACUGUAUUUCAAAAAAAUGUCAAGCUGUGGAUGCCUAGCUUCCUAGUUUACUUUUGAACGUUGGUGAUGCAUCAUCAGUAAGCAAGAAAGAGACAAGGUGUGUUUGCACCAGUGACCAGCUGGAAUACCUUUGCUGGACUUACCACCCCCCAGUACUUUGCAGGCAAGUCCCAGCCAAACCAUAGUCUUCACUACAUGCACUGCUUCAUCCCCAGGAGCAGCAGCAGGAACCUGCAUCCUUGAAGCACAUGUGCAUCUUCCUGGGGCUGAGCACCGGGAACAACUGGGCUACCAGCAGUGGCCAGCACAGCUCCCGUGCAGCUCCCUGUAACACCAUCAGCAUGACCUCAGUGCAGAGGAAAAGGAGAGCAAACAAGAUCCACAUUCAAAAUGGAGUUUGUAGUCUGACAGACACCCGGAG
RNAcentral lists this long non-coding RNA (3741 nucleotides) under Gallus gallus (chicken). The record is from RNAcentral. Lineage: Eukaryota; Metazoa; Chordata; Aves; Galliformes; Phasianidae.